AGCGAACGCUGGCGGCAGGCCUAACACAUGCAAGUCGAACGAACUCUUCGGAGUUAGUGGCGGACGGGUGAGUAACACGUGGGAACGUGCCUUUAGGUUCGGAAUAACUCAGGGAAACUUGUGCUAAUACCGAAUGUGCCCUUCGGGGGGAAAGAUUUAUCGCCUUUAGAGCGGCCCGCGUCUGAUUAGCUAGUUGGUAA
Molecule: ribosomal RNA, 200 nt
Filed under: uncultured bacterium
Lineage: Bacteria
Description: partial 16S ribosomal RNA
Rfam family: Bacterial small subunit ribosomal RNA
Source: RNAcentral